GACGAACGCUGGCGGCGUGCCUAAUACAUGCAAGUCGAACGCUUUUUCUUUCACCGGAGCUUGCUCCACCGAAAGAAAAAGAGUGGCGAACGGGUGAGUAACACGUGGGUAACCUGCCCAUCAGAAGGGGAUAACACUUGGAAACAGGUGCUAAUACCGUAUAACACUAUUUUCCGCAUGGAAGAAAGUUGAAAGGCGCUUUUGCGUCACUGAUGGAUGGACCCGCGGUGAAUUAGUUAGUUGGUGAGGUAACGGCUCACCAAGGCAACGAUGCAUAGCCGACCUGAGAGGGUGAUCGGCCACACUGGGACUGAGACACGGCCCAGACUCCUACGGGAGGCAGCAGUAGGGAAUCUUCGGCAAUGGACGAAAGUCUGACCGAGCAACGCCGCGUGAGUGAAGAAGGUUUUCGGAUCGUAAAACUCUGUUGUUAGAGAAGAACAAGGAUGAGAGUAAAAUGUUCAUCCCUUGACGGUAUCUAACCAGAAAGCCACGGCUAACUACGUGCCAGCAGCCGCGGUAA
Molecule: ribosomal RNA, 523 nt
Filed under: uncultured bacterium
Lineage: Bacteria
Description: partial 16S ribosomal RNA
Rfam family: Bacterial small subunit ribosomal RNA
Source: RNAcentral